GGAGUCUGGUCCGUGUCUCAGUACCAGUGUGGGGGACCUUCCUCUCAGAACCCCUAACGAUCGUAGGCCAGGUGGGCCGUUACCCCGCCUGCUGCCUAAUCGUACGCAUCCCCAUCCAUCGGCGACCGAAGUCUUUCGUGAAAAUCAGAGGCCUUCUUCUCACAACAUCAGGUAUUAGGCUCCCUUUCGGAAGGUUAUUCCUGACCCAUGGGCAGGUUGGAUACGCGUUACUCACCCGUGCGCCGGUCGCCAUCUAUCAAAGCAAGCUUCGAUAAUGAUGCCCCUCGACUUGCAUGUGUUAAGCCUGUAGCUAGCGUUCAUC
This 322-nucleotide ribosomal RNA is filed under the name uncultured Prevotella sp. RNAcentral describes it as "partial 16S ribosomal RNA". The record is from RNAcentral. Lineage: Bacteria; Pseudomonadati; Bacteroidota; Bacteroidia; Bacteroidales; Prevotellaceae.